UGGCUCAAUGGUAGAGUGCUUGCCUUGCAUGCAUGAGGCCCUGAGUUCAAUUCCUCAG
RNAcentral lists this transfer RNA (58 nucleotides) under Dipodomys ordii (Ord's kangaroo rat). It matches the Rfam family "tRNA", at positions 8 to 63 of the family's 71-position model. From Rfam's summary of the family: Transfer RNA (tRNA) molecules are approximately 80 nucleotides in length. The record is from Rfam by way of RNAcentral. Lineage: Eukaryota; Metazoa; Chordata; Mammalia; Rodentia; Heteromyidae.